RNAcentral lists this non-coding RNA (27 nucleotides) under Homo sapiens (human). Lineage: Eukaryota; Metazoa; Chordata; Mammalia; Primates; Hominidae. The record is from RNAcentral.
UGUCUGGAAAGGCCAUAGGUGGGGAAC